UGAAUUUGGAUGUACAAUACUACAUUCACAAUAUUGUCACUGUCAUGUGACCUACAAUGCAUCACUUCACAGAUCCUGACCCAUGGCCUCAUGAGAUAGUAAAGUGUCCAUCGUACACACACUGUACAAUCUCUACUUUUUGCCUACUAUGAAUUCAGACACACUUUUUUUUGUCACAUACUGUUUUUCAGCUACAUUUUAGUAGGGAAGUAUGCGAUUUUGAAUGCAGCUAGUGUUUCUGUUCCUUUAAAACGAAAGGUGAUUAAGAAAAAUCUGAUAGAACAGAUGGGUCUUUAGAUUGCAGUCACACUCUGUCAUGCACAUUAAACUUUAAUUGACCCGUUAAUUGCGACCAGAUAAUUUAAUGUAACGCUAAAGCUUUAAAAAGAAUCAGCUUUCACAUUUACAGCUGGGAUUUGUGCUUUAAUUGAUUCCUGUAUCCCACAAAGAGCAGUCAAUCUGAAUAACAGCAUCAGUGAUGAAUGAAAUAUGUUGGUUCUGUGUUCAUACAGUAGAUAGAGUCAGUCUAGUUAAAAAAUAUUGAUUAGAUUCUUACAAAUGCUAUUUUAAUUGGAGGGGUGUGUGUGAUGUGUCCUGUGGAGUUUGUGUUCAAGACUCCAGCUGUGACGUUAAAGUUCGCAUUAGAGCUAACAUCAGCAUCAUUACAUAAUAUAGUCCAAUUAAAACACAACUCCACAUACUGCAGAGUUAUACUAUGAAAGUAAAUAGUGAAUGGAAAUCAACUUUCAAAAUCACAUAUUCUAGGGGUGAAUUCACUAACAGUUGUGACACUUUUGCACAUGGUAUUUCACCUGCAUAUUUAUUCACUAACCACCCACAAUCCAGUUAAAUCAGAUGCCAUUUGCUAUCUGUGCCCCAUUUAAGCAAUUAUCAGUCAUUUCAGCACAAAUACACUUAGAAAAAAAAUCAGUUUUUUGGGGGUUUGCAGCAUUUAUCUGAUUUGCAUAUUUCCCUUAGUGAAUCAAGCUAUAAAACUAUGUAGAGUGCACAAAAUAAUGGCACUGUUGCAAUUAAUUUCGUGAAUUACCCUCAUCAUUUUUCAAUAUUAAACAUUUCAUAUUAUUCAUUUCUUUGUUUAUCUGUGUAUUUAAUAUUAAGUUGUUCAAAGUGUUUUGGGGAUUUAAUGGCUCAAUCAAGGAACAUCUAGUAUCGUGACUCUGAUUGGUGUUACUAAUUGGUGCCCCACUGGAUUGUAAUUUGAAAAUGUAUGAUUUAUUUUUAUCUGUAGAUUGACAACAAAGAGACAGAGAAUAAGUCUCUUUCGAAGAAAGAAAAGGGGGAAAAGAAGGACAAAGAAAAGGAG
Megalobrama amblycephala (Wuchang bream) is the source of this 1324-nucleotide long non-coding RNA. RefSeq lists it as uncharacterized. Lineage: Eukaryota; Metazoa; Chordata; Actinopteri; Cypriniformes; Xenocyprididae. The record is from RefSeq and is a predicted model, not a curated record. The transcript is spliced from 3 exons.